AACGAACGCUGGCGGCAGGCUUAACACAUGCAAGUCGAGCGCACUCUUUUAGAGUGAGCGGCAGACGGGUGAGUAACACGUGGACAACCUGCCUCAAGGCUGGGGAUAACAUUUGGAAACAGAUGCUAAUACCGAAUAAAACUUAGUGUCGCAUGACACAAAGUUAAAAGGCGCUUCGGCGUCACCUAGAGAUGGAUCCGCGGUGCAUUAGUUAGUUGGUGGGGUAAAAGCCUACCAAGACAAUGAUGCAUAGCCGAGUUGAGAGACUGAUCGGCCACAUUGGGACUGAGACACGGCCCAAACUCCUACGGGAGGCUGCAGUAGGGAAUCUUCCACAAUGGGCGAAAGCCUGAUGGAGCAACGCCGCGUGUGUGAUGAAGGCUUUCGGGUCGUAAAGCACUGUUGUAUGGGAAGAACAGCUAGAAUAGGAAAUGAUUUUAGUUUGACGGUACCAUACCAGAAAGGGACGGCUAAAUACGUGCCAGCAGCCGCCGUAACAC
Molecule: ribosomal RNA, 500 nt
Filed under: uncultured bacterium
Lineage: Bacteria
Description: bacterial SSU rRNA
Rfam family: Bacterial small subunit ribosomal RNA
Source: RNAcentral